GACGAACGCUGGCGGCGUGCUUAACACAUGCAAGUCAAGGGGGCCCAGCAAUGGGCAACCGGCGAACGGGUGCGUAACACGUGAGCAACCUACCGAACUGUGGGGGAUAGCCGGCCUAACGGCCGAGUAAUACCGCAUACGCUCUCAGGGAGGCAUUUCUUUGAGAGGAAACCUACGGGACAGAUCGAGGGGCUCGCGGCCUAUCAGCUAGUUGGCGAGGUAACGGCUCACCAAGGCAACGACGGGUAGCUGGUCUGAGAGGAUGGCCAGCCACAUUGGGACUGAGAUACGGCCCAGACUCCUACGGGAGGCAGCAGUGGGGAAUUGUUCGCAAUGGGCGCAAGCCUGACGACGCAACGCCGCGUGGAGGACGAAGAUUUUCGGAUCGUAAACUCCUGUCGAGCGGGACGAACCCCGCGCGGGUGAAUAAUCCGCGCGGCUGACGGUACCGCUAAAGGAAG
This 461-nucleotide ribosomal RNA is filed under the name uncultured bacterium. Its description in RNAcentral is "bacterial SSU rRNA". It matches the Rfam family "Bacterial small subunit ribosomal RNA", at positions 28 to 490 of the family's 1533-position model. The record is from RNAcentral.